AAGUCGUAACAAGGUUUCCGUAGGUGAACCUGCGGAAGGAUCAUUAACACGUAUCCAACGUUAAACCCCCCGUGAACCUUCAUUGUGCUCCCCCAUUCCGUUAGGACGCGGCAAUCCCUGGUAAAUCAUUGUUGAACAGAUUUUUGAUUCAGGGACCUCAGUUUGGCAGUUAGGAUUGAGCCAUCGGUGCAAGUGGUCUGGUUUCCCCAAGCAGUCAGUGUCUGAAAGUGGCAUUGAUUGUGUAAGGAUAACGCUUUUCGAUAACUAGAGGCCGACACCGGCCGGUGACCAGGUCGCCGUGGCUAAACAACUGUUAACAAUGGAUAGCUUGGUUCUC
This 337-nucleotide unclassified non-coding RNA is filed under the name fungal sp. RNAcentral's name for it is "partial internal transcribed spacer region". The stretch from base 1 to 46 matches the Rfam family "Eukaryotic small subunit ribosomal RNA", at positions 1786 to 1831 of the family's 1831-position model. Lineage: Eukaryota; Fungi. The record is from RNAcentral.